This 484-nucleotide ribosomal RNA is filed under the name uncultured bacterium. RNAcentral describes it as "partial 16S ribosomal RNA". It matches the Rfam family "Bacterial small subunit ribosomal RNA", at positions 30 to 507 of the family's 1533-position model. The record is from RNAcentral.
AUUGAACGCUGGCGGCAGGCCUAACACAUGCAAGUCGAGCGGAUGAAGGGAGCUUGCUCCUGGAUUCAGCGGCGGACGGGUGAGUAAUGCCUAGGAAUCUGCCUGGUAGUGGGGGAUAACGUCCGGAAACGGGCGCUAAUACCGCAUACGUCCUGAGGGAGAAAGUGGGGGAUCUUCGGACCUCACGCUAUCAGAUGAGCCUAGGUCGGAUUAGCUAGUUGGUGGGGUAAAGGCCUACCAAGGCGACGAUCCGUAACUGGUCUGAGAGGAUGAUCAGUCACACUGGAACUGAGACACGGUCCAGACUACUACGGGAGGCAGCAGUGGGGAAUAUUAGACAAUGGGCGAAAGCCUGAUCCAGCCAUGCCGCGUGUGUGAAGAAGGUCUUCGGCUUGUAAAGCACUUUAAGUUGGGAGGAAGGGCAGUAAGUUAAUACCUUGCUGUUUUGACGUUACCAACAGAAUAAGCACCGGCUAACUUCGUG